Molecule: ribosomal RNA, 347 nt
Filed under: uncultured Rhodoferax sp.
Lineage: Bacteria; Pseudomonadati; Pseudomonadota; Betaproteobacteria; Burkholderiales; Comamonadaceae
Description: bacterial SSU rRNA
Rfam family: Bacterial small subunit ribosomal RNA
Source: RNAcentral
CACAGGUGCUGCAUGGCUGUCGUCAGCUCGUGUCGUGAGAUGUUGGGUUAAGUCCCGCAACGAGCGCAACCCUUGUCAUUAGUUGCUACAUUCAGUUGGGCACUCUAAUGAGACUGCCGGUGACAAGCCCGGAGGAAGUGGGGAUGACGUCAAGUCCUCAUGGCCCUUAUAGGUGGGGCUACACACGUCAUACAAUGGCUGGUACAAAGGGUUGCCAACCCGCGAGGGGGAGCCAAUCCCAUAAAGCCAGUCGUAGUCCGGAUCGUAGUCUGCAACUCGACUACGUGAAGUCGGAAUCGCUAGUAAUCGUGGAUCAGAAUGUCACGGUGAAUACGUUCCCGGGUCUU